This 36-nucleotide ribosomal RNA is filed under the name Euchordodes nigromaculatus. RNAcentral describes it as "partial 28S ribosomal RNA". Lineage: Eukaryota; Metazoa; Nematomorpha; Gordioida; Chordodea; Chordodidae. The record is from RNAcentral.
UCCGACCUCAGAUCGAACGAGAAUACCCGCUGAAUU